Molecule: ribosomal RNA, 224 nt
Filed under: uncultured bacterium
Lineage: Bacteria
Description: partial 16S ribosomal RNA
Rfam family: Bacterial small subunit ribosomal RNA
Source: RNAcentral
UACGUAGGGUGCGAGCGUUGUCCGGAAUUAUUGGGCGUAAAGAGCUUGUAGGCGGUUUGUCGCGUCUGCUGUGAAAAUCCGGGGCUCAACCCCGGACUUGCAGUGGGUACGGGCAGACUAGAGUGUGGUAGGGGAGACUGGAAUUCCUGGUGUAGCGGUGAAAUGCGCAGAUAUCAGGAGGAACACCGAUGGCGAAGGCAGGUCUCUGGGCCAACUACUGACGC